Ameiurus melas (black bullhead) is the source of this 74-nucleotide non-coding RNA. The record is from the annotation of a GenBank genome assembly. NCBI's taxonomy places the organism in Eukaryota, Metazoa, Chordata, Actinopteri, Siluriformes, Ictaluridae.
GUUCGCUCGUUCUAGAGGUUAGGAUUCGGCGCCCUCAACUCCAUGGCCUGGGUUCGAUUCCCGGGCAGGGGAUG